AUACGGAGGGUGCAAGCGUUAAUCGGAAUUACUGGGCGUAAAGAGUACGUAGGUGGUUUAUUAAGUCAGAUGUGAAAGCCCCGGGCUCAACCUGGGAACUGCAUUUGAAACUAGUAGACUAGAGUAUGGUAGAGGGGGGUAGAAUUUCUAGUGUAGCGGUGAAAUGCGUAGAUAUUAGAAGGAAUACCAGUGGCGAAGGCGGCCCCCUGGACCAAUACUGACACUGAGGUACGAAAGCGUGGGUGGCGAACAGGAUUAGAUACCCCGGUAGUCC
RNAcentral lists this ribosomal RNA (274 nucleotides) under uncultured bacterium. RNAcentral's name for it is "partial 16S ribosomal RNA". It matches the Rfam family "Bacterial small subunit ribosomal RNA", at positions 523 to 796 of the family's 1533-position model. The record is from RNAcentral.